Suricata suricatta (meerkat) is the source of this 215-nucleotide long non-coding RNA. RefSeq lists it as uncharacterized. The transcript is spliced from 3 exons. The record is from RefSeq and is a predicted model, not a curated record. NCBI's taxonomy places the organism in Eukaryota, Metazoa, Chordata, Mammalia, Carnivora, Herpestidae.
AGAGAGGGACGAACUGGGGUUUUGCCUAUACAGGAAGGGAAAACAGCAGAAUUUUCCCAUUAGGAUCAUGUUACAAAAACAAGGAGACCGGAGACUAUAUCAUGGUGUAAGAAUGUGGAGUCAGACACUAAGUGAAUCCCAGGCCCAUGCUUCCACAGGGUGGGAUCCAAGUGUCUGGACCUCCCUCUACUUUAUUCCACCCUCCUAUCUGGAUC